AAACCAUAGACCCUUUAUGGGUUUGUCAUGGGCUUUGUGCAUUGCGCAUUGCCUCAAAGUCAUCGGUCUAACAAGCGGACGAGAUCCAUUAGGACUGACUGUUUGCUGACCUUAAAUCUCUG
Molecule: unclassified non-coding RNA, 122 nt
Filed under: uncultured Archaeorhizomycetaceae
Lineage: Eukaryota; Fungi; Ascomycota; Archaeorhizomycetes; Archaeorhizomycetales; Archaeorhizomycetaceae
Description: sequence contains ITS2
Source: RNAcentral